RNAcentral lists this ribosomal RNA (183 nucleotides) under uncultured bacterium. Its description in RNAcentral is "partial 16S ribosomal RNA". It matches the Rfam family "Bacterial small subunit ribosomal RNA", at positions 1317 to 1500 of the family's 1533-position model. The record is from RNAcentral.
UACAUGAAGCUGGAGUUACUAGUAAUCGCAGAUCAGAAUGCUGCGGUGAAUGCGUUCCCGGGUCUUGUACACACCGCCCGUUACACCACGGAAGUUGGGGCGCCCGAAGCCAGUGAGGUAACCGAGAGGAGCCAGCCGUCGAAGGUGAGACCAAUGACUGGGGUGAAGUCGUAACAAGGUACC